RNAcentral lists this ribosomal RNA (256 nucleotides) under Bacillus inaquosorum. Its description in RNAcentral is "Bacillus subtilis subsp. inaquosorum partial 23S ribosomal RNA". It matches the Rfam family "Bacterial large subunit ribosomal RNA", at positions 798 to 1052 of the family's 2925-position model. RNAcentral also lists the same sequence under 1 other name. Lineage: Bacteria; Bacillati; Bacillota; Bacilli; Caryophanales; Bacillaceae. The record is from RNAcentral.
GCGGGGAUGAGGUGUGGGUAGGGGUGAAAUGCCAAUCGAACCUGGAGAUAGCUGGUUCUCUCCGAAAUAGCUUUAGGGCUAGCCUCAAGGUAAGAGUCUUGGAGGUAGAGCACUGAUUGGACUAGGGGCCCCUACCGGGUUACCGAAUUCAGUCAAACUCCGAAUGCCAAUGACUUAUCCUUGGGAGUCAGACUGCGAGUGAUAAGAUCCGUAGUCGAAAGGGAAACAGCCCAGACCGCCAGCUAAGGUCCCAAAG